RNAcentral lists this ribosomal RNA (445 nucleotides) under uncultured bacterium. RNAcentral's name for it is "bacterial SSU rRNA". It matches the Rfam family "Bacterial small subunit ribosomal RNA", at positions 28 to 507 of the family's 1533-position model. The record is from RNAcentral.
GGUUAACGCUGGCGGCGUGCCUAACACAUGCAAGUCGAACGGUUCUAAGCGCGAGCUUAGGAUAGUGGCGAACGGGUGAGUAAAAGGUAGGAAUCUACCCCUUGGACGGAGAUAGCUACUGGAAACGGUAGGUAAACUUCGAUAAGCCCGAGAGGGGAAAGUGGUGAGACAGCCGAGGGAUGAGCCUACUCUCCAUCAGGUAGUUGGUGAGAUAAAAGCUUACCAAGCCGAUGACGGAUAACCGGUGUGAGAGCAUGAACGGUCACAAGGGCACUGAGAGACGGGCCCUACUCCUACGGGAGGCAGCAGUGGGGAAUCUUGGACAAUGGGCGAAAGCCUGAUCCAGCGACGCCGCGUGGAGGACGAAGCCCUUCGGGGUGUAAACUCCUUUUCUCAGGGAAAAAGGAUGAUGGUACCUGAGGAAUAAGCCCCGGCUAACUACGUG